This 445-nucleotide long non-coding RNA is filed under the name Salvia miltiorrhiza (redroot sage). Its description in RNAcentral is "long non-coding RNA (SMIL_LNC011932)". Lineage: Eukaryota; Viridiplantae; Streptophyta; Magnoliopsida; Lamiales; Lamiaceae. The record is from RNAcentral.
UUUGCAAAAAAUUUAUACUAAGUCUGAAAUUUAUUCUCCCGCUUCCCCAAUAUCAAAUUCUCAUUCUCCCUCGCUACAUGUAGAUUUCAAAAUCCUAAACUACAAUAAGAUUUCACACUAGCCAAAAUCAGAUUUCUCCCGUCGCCCUCUCGCCCACAUCCAGGCUGCCGCCAAAUCGCUGCCACUCGCCCUCUCAAAUCGACUAGAGCUGCCUAGGGUUCUCGGCGCCCUCUCGUCCUCUCGCCGCCGGGAUCGAUUGGGCUGCCCAGGGCUCUCUUCGCCCUCUCGCUGCCAGGAUCGACUAGGGCUGCUUAGGGCUCUCUUCGCCCUUUCACCGCCCGGAUCGAUUGGGUCUGCCCAGGGCUCUCUUCACCCUCUCGUUGCCGGGAUCGACUAGGGCUGCCUAGGGCUCCCGCCGCCCUCUUGCCGCCGGGAUCGACUAGGG